GAUGAACGCUGGCGGCGUGCUUAACACAUGCAAGUCGAACGAUGAAGCCCAGCUUGCUGGGUGGAUUAGUGGCGAACGGGUGAGUAACACGUGAGUAACCUGCCCUUAACUCUGGGAUAAGCCUGGGAAACUGGGUCUAAUACCGGAUAGGAGCGUCCACCGCAUGGUGGGUGUUGGAAAGAUUUAUCGGUUUUGGAUGGACUCGCGGCCUAUCAGCUUGUUGGUGAGGUAAUGGCUCACCAAGGCGACGACGGGUAGCCGGCCUGAGAGGGUGACCGGCCACACUGGGACUGAGACACGGCCCAGACUCCUACGGGAGGCAGCAGUGGGGAAUAUUGCACAAUGGGCGCAAGCCUGAUGCAGCGACGCCGCGUGAGGGAUGACGGCCUUCGGGUUGUAAACCUCUUUCAGUAGGGAAGAAGCAAAGUGACGGUACCUGCAGAAGAAGCACCGGCUAACUACGUG
This 465-nucleotide ribosomal RNA is filed under the name uncultured bacterium. RNAcentral describes it as "partial 16S ribosomal RNA". It matches the Rfam family "Bacterial small subunit ribosomal RNA", at positions 28 to 507 of the family's 1533-position model. The record is from RNAcentral.